GCUUCUGAAUCAUUCACCUUCACAAUGCUCCCACAGAAGAUUAUGUGGGCGCACAGAGGGUUCUGAGGGUCAUAUCUGUGCUUCUUGCAGUACGGAGUCUGUGCCAAAGACACGGUCAGGGAGGCAUUCGAAUUGACCUCCAAGUCCUGCACGGAGAUCUCCAUGUCGGUCAGGUACAGGUAGGGCACGCCGCUGCCGCCGCCGGGCCCCGGGGCGCCGUCGCUGAUGGAGAAGAUGUUGGCGAAGGGGCGGCCGCGCAGCCCUUCCUGCGCGGAGAGCGUGGCCAGCGCGCCCCAGUCGCAGUUGUGCAGCACGAAGCGCGCCAUGCGGGCCGCCUCCUCGGGCGGAGGAAUGGUCCCGCGGGCCAACGCCGCCAGCGCGGCCGCGCACAGGAACGCCAACAACACCAUGGCGGACCGCCGCUGCCACCGACGACACGGUCUAUCGCAAGCGCCGCGGCGACGGACUACAACCCGGCGCGGGGUGGGGCGCGUCACUCUGCUCUCCGCCAAUCGAAGGCAACCUGCCCGACUCUCAGCCAAUGGGAGAUGACGGGAGGCGGGGCCGAGCGCGUCGGCUGCCGGAGGUGGUAAACAACUCUGACAGACCUGGCUCGCCGUCGGGAGGAGCGGGAAGGGGGGCGGGGACACGGUGAUCCAGCAGCCAAUGAAAGGCCUCGACGGAGCUCUCUGCCAAUCACAUUUCACGAGGGGCAGAGGGGCGCCUCGCUCCCCUUCAACCUCACCGAGUGUGUUUACACUGCCUAUGUGGCAGCGGGUUGUAGAGAAGCCUACGCUGACCGAAUGCCACCGUUACCGGGUUUGCGGGAGCAUAAGCUGAGAUCAGCAGCAAAAAUGACAAGUUUCUCUACUUCAAAUAUUUAUUUCGUGCAAGUCCGAGAAAUAUUCUCCAGCGCCGUUCUGCAGCACCUUGCAGCAUGCCUGGUGCAGAUGGAGGAAUAGAGCAGGAGUGCAACAAAGCAUGAAGCGUGCCACACCCGGCCUUCUCGGCUCUUUUCCACAUUCAAGUCUCUGACAGAGCUCGAUGGGUCGGUUGCUGGCUCAAGAUCCAGCUGUAUGCAAAGCUGAACUGACAGCUAAAAUCAUCCAGGUAACAGUGCCAAGAGUAGAAUACUCUGCGCUGACGGCAUCUGCCAAAGAACAGCCUUAUGGAAAAGAAAGGGUGAGCCCUCCUGUGAAGACUGCAAAAGCCUUUUCUCCAAGAGUUCUAUUUGCAAUAGGAUCACCUCAACAUCCCAAAGCCCUUCUAGCCAAACCCCAAAAGCCACAUUGAAACAGGCAGACUUUCCAUCUCCCAGAAUUGGAUAUGCCAAGAGUUUUCCUUUAGCUUUACUCAUACGAAUGGAUGGUGUUACAUUACAAAGAUGAGUCCCACGUGCCUGUUCUGGAGUCCUUUUUGUCUGAUAAAUGCUCAGGUCCAGACCGUAAUGGUUUCCAAGCCUUCAGCUGGCGCAGGUCACACGCUUACAAGAGGCCCUUCAGGGCUGGGCAGGUCACACGCUUACAAGAGGCCCUUCAGGGCUGCAACCAAGGCUUCUUUCUCACCAUGCAUGCUUCUCAUGUGACAUCUGUCCCCGAGUGCCUCUUCAUACGGCACGUGUGUAACCAGGCACCAGCUGAGGCUGUGGGCACGUGAGAGGGAUCCGGCUGUGGGCUGCCAGGCCAAUGAACCGAAAGGCCUGUGGGAGUGACGGUGUAUGCCACAGGAGUCAUUCGUUGGGCUGAACUCGGGCAAGACUUGAAGAAAAAUAAACCGCGGAUCCAUUUGUACACUGUCCUGUAGCUGUGUAAAGGCAGAAUAAAACUGUUUUUCCUUUAGUAUUCCUCUCACUUCCAGGGAGCAGGUGGUGGCAUCCCUCUGGGGAAGGAGAAACGCUGAAACACAAAGCUUUCCACUGCUGCCCUCUCCUGGCAAUGCUCGGGAGAAACCUGCUCUGUUGUAGCACAUGCCUCUUAUUUGGAGCAAGUUCUAUCCCAGGGCAAAGCGCUGAAGAGAAAACACGACAAGAAGAGAAGUUAGUGUGAGAGAAAAGAAGGCUGCUUGAAAGGAUGCUAGAUAGGAUUGUGGGAAGGGAUGCUUUUAUGUAGAUAGGAGUGUGGGCCACAUUUGGAGGAGGGCCGGGAGUGAAAUGUGUUGAAAAAGACUGCAACUGUUCUGCAGAAGUGAAAAUAGUGUGGAAAAGAGGGACCAAAAUGAUCUAGAGUUCCUAAUCUGUUUAGUUUAGGAUUUAAGAUGAGGAACACAUACUGCAACAAGCUCUUUUUGUUAGAGAUUUUGCUUGCUGAAGUAUAGAUAUUGCUUCCUCUUUUUCCACCAACGUGUAUGCAUGCAAGCACUCUUCUUUUUCACAGCAGUUCUGCCUUCUGAGAACCAGAGGGAAGGGUUCAUCUUUCCCCCUCUGCAGAUAAAUGGACAAGUGGCAGGGGAGGGUGGGGGGUUGAGGAUGGGUGCCUGGCUGAUUUUGCUGGGGAACAGAACAGCGUCAUAGGGAGCAAAUGGGAGGUGGUUGGUGGAGUCAGUACAGGAAAGAAGGGAUGUCACAGAAGUGAAAAAGGACAGAAAGGAAAGGAGAUAAUGGAGAUGAUGGAAGGAGGUGGGGGUUUUUUGUUUGUUUGUUGGAAGCUUAUAUGUUACAGAGUUUACAUUUAUUAGCACAAUGUAUUUGCCAAAUGUGGUUAUCUGUUCUUCAGCAGAAGAGUGUACAUUACCGGAGGUGUUCCCCAGACAGUAUCACUGCACAUGCAAGCUUUUCCUCUGCUUCCUCUCCCACUGCAGCCCUGCAGUGUCCUGCAGCCCUCCCUGUGAGCAGCCACCAUGGGGUGCUGCUGCCCAG
RNAcentral lists this long non-coding RNA (2854 nucleotides) under Gallus gallus (chicken). The record is from RNAcentral. Lineage: Eukaryota; Metazoa; Chordata; Aves; Galliformes; Phasianidae.